GCCGGGUGUGGUAGUGCACGCCUGUAGUCCCAGGUUCUUGGGAGGCUGAGGUGGGAGGAUCACUUGAGCCCAGGAGGUCAAGGCUGUAGUGAGCUGUGAUUGCACCACUGCCCACUGCCCACUGCACUCCAGCCUGGGUGACAGAGUAAGACUCUGUCUCAA
Unclassified non-coding RNA from Macaca mulatta (Rhesus monkey), 162 nucleotides. It matches the Rfam family "Metazoan signal recognition particle RNA". From Rfam's summary of the family: The signal recognition particle (SRP) is a universally conserved ribonucleoprotein. It is involved in the co-translational targeting of proteins to membranes. The record is from Ensembl. Lineage: Eukaryota; Metazoa; Chordata; Mammalia; Primates; Cercopithecidae.